Molecule: long non-coding RNA, 1088 nt
Filed under: Struthio camelus australis
Lineage: Eukaryota; Metazoa; Chordata; Aves; Struthioniformes; Struthionidae
Description: lncRNA (ENSSCUG00000006428.1)
Source: RNAcentral
AUCUAAGCACUGGCAUCAGAUGGAUUCCUGCUCUCUUAUACUUUAUGCUCCAGAGCAAGUAAGCCCGACUAGUGCACCUUCCAGCUUUUAAUACUGGAGAUGAGUAGGCACAUUAGGUGGAAGAAGGUGUCCAAUGUUAAUUUUCAUUGCUGUGGCGAUGAGAUACACUUCUUAAUAUGACUCAAAAGAAUCCUGUCUUUCUACUCUAUCUCUAAUAAUGUUUCUGUUUGUUUGCCUUCAAUAGUUUCUUGUAAAAAAAGCUACACUGGAUUCUCGAAGGAUUCACAGAGACCUAAAAGACAUUGACCUCAGCACCACUCUUCUAGGACCUUGGAGAAGGAUGGAAAAUGUGAAAAAUAGAAGUAAGGUAUAAGAAGCCUAUAUUAUUCUGUAUUGAAGGAACCAAAGCCGUGUUACCAGAUUCAGUUGUUAUUGUGUAGUAUCAGUAGUAAAAAAGACUUUACAUGUGUGUGUACACGGCGCGUAUGUGUUUUCACAUGCCUGCUGAACUGUAGGCAGACUGGAGCAGAACAUUCACUUCAGUACAUAUGCUCCACUUCAAAAACCAAAUCUGGCGUUCUCCUUAAUUUUCAGAAUUCAAGUGCAAGUUUAUCCAAGCAAGCUUGUAUUUAGAUUCCCGCUCUGCAGUGUCAUGUGCUGCCCAUUUCCAUGGCAGUGUGUAUGUCUGGGGCUCUGCAAAUCAUCGCUGAGAGGUGUGCUCCAAAACUCUGCAAGGAGAAGCCUCCCUCUCUUCAAGGGAAGGGAGGACAUACCGACAACACUGAGUCCAGCACGAUCUGCAAAGUGCUCCUCCUUCCUUUUAUCCUGGACUAGACAGUAGUGGUACUGGGGUCUAUACACAGAAUGUGCAUGCAUAGGCUAUCACUCUCCAUGUCCCACUCUUUGGAGGCAUUGCUAUUCAUUCCACAACACAACUAGCAAUGAAGGCACGUGCUCCCACUCUCAGCCUCCACAAUGACAGCCCACUGAAGGGAGGGCACACGUUAGUGACUACCCCUGCAACUAUCCGGGGCCCACUGCGACUAAUAGGCAAAAAUCCAAAUGUUUGGAGUCUGCAUGUGAAGAGU